Molecule: long non-coding RNA, 455 nt
Organism: Esox lucius (northern pike)
Lineage: Eukaryota; Metazoa; Chordata; Actinopteri; Esociformes; Esocidae
Exons: 3
Source: RefSeq, a predicted model, not a curated record
CUAAGUUAGAAUCAGGAGAGCCCUGGAAGACGUUCCUUGGACGUUUUUCGUUCUGCUGUAAGACGCCCAUAACGUGAUAUCAACCAAAAUAAGAGUCUCUGGAAGGAGUUGGUUUUGGUUUUGCUCUUGCUCUGGGACGCCCACAAGCUGAUAUACAAUGGUAAAGCCUCCCAGCAGCUCAUUAAAGAUGGACGCUGUUCUAAUCACUGGUGCAGCUGUGUUCUGGAACUCAGGGUGGUGAUCGCUCCCUCUUUUCACUUUUGCCUUCUUUAUUUAGCAGAUAUCCUAACCUGCAAUGGGGUAAUCAGGAAGAGUUAAGUAAUUACAGAGUGCCUUGAUGCCAAAACGCUCCACUGUGCCCAAAUUACUGCAAAAGGUACAGCCUGGCGGGAAAUGUUUUUCCGUUCCUCAAAUUUAAUUAAUCAUAAGCGGACUGGCUGUCACCCUCUCCCUGA